UGGCGGACGGGUGAGUAACGCGUAAAGAACUUGCCCUUUAGACUGGGAUAACAGAGGGAAACUUCUGAUAAUACUGGAUAAGUUAGUAUAUCGCAUGAUAUGCAAAUGAAAGCUACGGCACUAAAGGAGAGCUUUGCGUCCUAUUAGCUAGUUGGUAAGGUAAGAGCUUACCAAGGCGAUGAUAGGUAGCCGGCCUGAGAGGGUGGACGGCCACAAGGGGACUGAGAUACGGCCCUUACUCCUACGGGAGGCAGCAGUU
Molecule: ribosomal RNA, 259 nt
Filed under: uncultured Leptotrichia sp.
Lineage: Bacteria; Fusobacteriati; Fusobacteriota; Fusobacteriia; Fusobacteriales; Leptotrichiaceae
Description: partial 16S ribosomal RNA
Rfam family: Bacterial small subunit ribosomal RNA
Source: RNAcentral